This is a long non-coding RNA of Daucus carota subsp. sativus, 538 nucleotides long. RefSeq lists it as uncharacterized. The transcript has 2 exons. Lineage: Eukaryota; Viridiplantae; Streptophyta; Magnoliopsida; Apiales; Apiaceae. The record is from RefSeq and is a predicted model, not a curated record.
ACUUGAUCUAUCUUCGAAAACUGGGAUCUACAUUGUCCGGCAAAUCCAGCAGCAAAACAACAGCCAAGAAUCAAGAAAAUGGCCCAUCUCACGAAGCUCUACCUUUUAGCACUUGCAUUUAUCCUCCUAUCAAAUCAAAGUGCUCGGUGCAUUACUGCAUCCUCACUUCAUCAAGGUGAUAAGCAAAAUAGGUGGUUUUUGAGUUGCGGAAAUGGGUACAGAAAGCUGGGGCAUCUGAACUGUGGAAAUGCAGGUGAAUCCACAAACAUGAGGAAAACUCCUUGGUCUGAAAGCCUUAAAACAGCGUUAUCGCCACCACCAGCACCGGUCAUGAGAGGUGGAUCGCCUUCGGAAGAUAUCGCACCACCCCCUCCAAACAAAUAAUGAUGAAUUUAAUGGCCAAAAAAUGUUCCAUAUCGAUUGAUCGUGUUUUCAUCUUUAUUGAUUAUAGGACAAUGCAAUUGGAUGUUCUUGAGUGUUGUAAAUUUUAUCAAGUGUUUUUAUUUUAAGAAUGCAAUCGACUUGGCUCUUUGUAUCA